CCUACGGGAGGCAGCAGUGGGGAAUAUUGCACAAUGGGGGAAACCCUGAUGCAGCGACGCCGCGUGAGUGAAGAAGUAAUUCGUUAUGUAAAGCUCUAUCAGCAGGGAAGAAAAUGACGGUACGUGAGUAAGAAGCCCCGGCUAACUACGUGCCAGCAGCCGCGGUAAUACGUAGGGGGCAAGCGUUAUCCGGAUUUACUGGGUGUAAAGGGAGCGUAGACGGCAGUGCAAGUCUGGAGUGAAAGGCGGGGGCUCAACCCCCGGACUGCUCUGGAAACUGUACGGCUGGAGUGCAGGAGAGGGAAGUGGAAUUCCUGGUGUAGCGGUGAAAUGCGUAGAUAUUAGGAGGAACACCAGGGGCGAAGGCGGCUUACUGGACUGUAACUGACGUUGAGGCUCGAAAGCGUGGGGAGCAAACAGGAUUAGAUACCCUGGUAGUC
Molecule: ribosomal RNA, 440 nt
Filed under: uncultured bacterium
Lineage: Bacteria
Description: partial 16S ribosomal RNA
Rfam family: Bacterial small subunit ribosomal RNA
Source: RNAcentral